Molecule: ribosomal RNA, 560 nt
Filed under: Escherichia coli
Lineage: Bacteria; Pseudomonadati; Pseudomonadota; Gammaproteobacteria; Enterobacterales; Enterobacteriaceae
Description: partial 23S ribosomal RNA
Rfam family: Bacterial large subunit ribosomal RNA
Source: RNAcentral
GGGUUGUGAGGUUAAGCGACUAAGCGUACACGGUGGAUGCCCUGGCAGUCAGAGGCGAUGAAGGACGUGCUAAUCUGCGAUAAGCGUCGGUAAGGUGAUAUGAACCGUUAUAACCGGCGAUUUCCGAAUGGGGAAACCCAGUGUGAUUCGUCACACUAUCAUUAACUGAAUCCAUAGGUUAAUGAGGCGAACCGGGGGAACUGAAACAUCUAAGUACCCCGAGGAAAAGAAAUCAACCGAGAUUCCCCCAGUAGCGGCGAGCGAACGGGGAGCAGUCCAGAGCCUGAAUCAGUGUGUGUGUUAGUGGAAGCGUCUGGAAAGGCGCGCGAUACAGGGUGACAGCCCCGUACACAAAAAUGCACAUACUGUGAGCUCGAUGAGUAGGGCGGGACACGUGGUAUCCUGUCUGAAUAUGGGGGGACCAUCCUCCAAGGCUAAAUACUCCUGACUGACCGAUAGUGAACCAGUACCGUGAGGGAAAGGCGAAAAGAACCCCGGCGAGGGGAGUGAAAAAGAACCUGAAACCGUGUACGUACAAGCAGUGGGAGCACAGAGCAAUC